This 5994-nucleotide long non-coding RNA is filed under the name Sus scrofa (pig). RNAcentral's name for it is "lncRNA (ENSSSCG00035010231.1)". The record is from RNAcentral. Lineage: Eukaryota; Metazoa; Chordata; Mammalia; Artiodactyla; Suidae.
UUUUUUUUUUUUUUGACUGACCCACAUCUCCUACCCCCAUUUCAGACAAUGAGCUCAUUAAAUUUACUUCAAGUGUAACUUAGAGAUAUUGCAGGUCAGUUCUAGACCACCACAAUAGAGUGAAUAUUGUAAUAAAUCAAUACACACAAUUUUUUUAGUUUCCCCAUUCAUAUAAAAGUUAUGUUUACACUUUCCUGUAUAGUCUAUUAAAGUGUGCAAGAAUAUUAUGUCUAAAAAACAAUGUGCAUUCCUUAAUUAAAAAAUACUUUAUGGCUGAAAAAUGCUAACCACUAUCCAGGCCUUUGGUGAGUCAUAAUCUCUUUGCCAAUGGAGGGUCUUGCCUCAAUGCUGACGGCUGCUGAGUGAGCAGAGUGGUGGCUGCUGAAGGUCAGGGUGACUGCAGCAACUUCUUAAGAUAGCAAUGAAGUUUGCCACAUCAACUGACUCUUCAUUUCACAAACUGCUCUGGAGCAGGCAGUACAGUUUGUGACAUUUUAGCCACAGGAGAUGUCAUUUCAAAAUUGGAGGCAAUCCUGCUGCUAUUUUAUCAACGAAGCUUAUUUUUGGUGUCAUUUCAACAAUCUUCACAGCAUUUUCACCAGGAGCAGAUUCCGUCUCAAGAAACCACUUUCUUUGGUCAUCCAUAAGAAGCAACCCCAGGCGUUCUCAUCGUGGCUCAGCAGUAACAAACUCAACCAGGAUCCAUGAGGAUGCGGGUUCAAUCCCCGGCCUCACUCAGUGAGUUAAGGAUCUGGCGUUGCCGUGAACUGUGGUGUAGGUUGCAGAUGCGGUUUGGAUCCUGCAUUGCUGUGGCAUAGGCGGGCAGCUGUAGCUCAGAUUCAACCCCUAGCCUGGGAACCUCCAUAUGGCCACAGGUUUGGUCCUAAAAAGCAAUAAAAUAAAAUUAAAUUAAAUUAAAAAUAAAACAGAUUAUAAUUAAAAAAAACCAAACCCACAUUAUCUGAGAAGUGCUAUAAAGCAAAGCACAAUAAAUUGAAGUAUGCUUGACACUCUCCUUGUGGAUUUUCAUUAGCUCAACAGUAAGACCAGCUGAAAAAGACAAAGAUUUGAGUGACUACUACCUGUCCAGCAGUGUGGAAUUCUUCAUAUAACUCUUCUACUUGAUCUCAGCAUGAACACUGUGAGUCCAAAGUAUCAUCUCCACCUUACAGGUGAUAAAACUAAACAAGCAGUAUUUAGGAUCAUGGCUUCUACUUUGUUUCUGGGAUUAUGUGACUUUAUGACAUACCCACCGCCUGCCCCUGACACACAAUGGGUGGUGACUUCUCAAAAAUACAGAUAAACACAUAUCCAUACAUCAGCACCACAUCAAACCACUUCAAGGAUCCACAGGGCAUUCUGAGGGGAAAGCAUGUCCUGGAAUCAUGCAAUGCAGUGGUUCCAAGUAUUACAUCAAACCGAAAUAGUUCUGUCUGACCCACACUCCCAGAACUGUGUUGGAAAGAAAGGAUUUAAAAUCAGCCUCUGUGACCAAGAAUACACUCUUCCAAGCAACCUCCUUCUCAUGAGAAGCUAGUGCCAACCAUUUGUUUUUCUUUUAAUCCUAAAUAAAUUAAGAAAUUACCUUUUCUUUUUGUUUUUCUUUCUUUUUAUUUCCUAAAUGGCCACACCUGCAGCCGAUGGCAGUUCCUGGGUCAAAGGUCAAACUGGAGCUGGAGCUGAGGCCUAUGCCACAGUUUGUGGCAGUGCUGGAUCCCCAACCCACUGUACGAGGCCAGGGAUGGAACCUGCAUCCUCAUGGACACUCUGUCGGGUUCUCAACCCCAUCAGCCACAACGGAAACUCCAAUACAUUACGUUUUCUAUCUCACUUCCCUCUUAGGCACAAGUUGAGACCAUGAGCUCCAUACAACCCUCAAAAUGAGCACAGUUCAUUUCCAAAAAGGAGAUAUUGCCUGAUUUUUAUGAGUCAGGCACUGGGAUCAGGGCUAGGAAUGCACUAGACAGGUGGAGGAGACAGAAAAAGUAGAUAGAUCAUUUCAAUAUAACAUGAUGAUUGAGAACCCAACCCCCUCUCACUGCCUCUGUGCUGGUCUGGGCCACCUGGGACCACCUCUCACCUUGAUUACUGCCAUACCUCCUAACAGGCCUCUACUUCUGCCCUUGCCCCAAGUUACAGACUGAAUGUUUGUGUCUCCUGACUCCAUGCCCUCCACCGAUUGCUCUGCGGAAGCCCUACCCCAUAAUGGGAUGAUAUUAGGAGAUGGGGGCUCUGGGCAGGAAUUAGGAUGAGAUCAGGUCAGGAGGGGGGAGCUAUCACAAUGGAAUUAGUGCCCUUCGAAGAGUCACAAGGGUCCUUGCUUCCUCCCUCUGCUCUCUGCGUGUCAGGAUACAGCACGACGCUGGCAAUCUGCAAACCAGAAAAGAACCAGAAAAGGUUCUCCCCAGGACCUGACCGAGCUGGCACCCUGAUCUGACUUUCAGCCUCCAGAAAUGAAUGUCUGCUGUUCAUAAGCCACCAAAUCUAUGGUACUUUCUUAGAGCAACGUGAACAGACUAAGAUAAGACACUCUCAUUUAGUCUAUUCUCUAUAACACAGCCAAAACAAUCCUGCCAAGUCAGACCAAGUCACGUCCUCUGCGUGGAACCCUCCAGGGACUUCCCAUUGCACUUGGAAUAAAAUCCAAAAUAUUUGCAAGGCCCCCAAGGUUCUGCACAGUCUGCCCCUGCGCCCUCCCUCCCCCAGCGCCUCCUUCUCCAACCUCAGCUGCUUCCUCUCCCCACCACUCGUUCAGCUCCAACUAUAACCUGAAGCGUAAUCCUUCCUUGGGGUUUUGUCCUGUACCCUCUGCUCAGUAAAUGCCCCAGGUUCUGCAGGACUCGGCCUCAUACCUCCUUCAGGUCUUUGCUCAAACAAGAUAGUCUCAGUGAUGAGCUCUUUGGUUACUGAGUUAAAAAUUACAGUGUGUUCCCUGGCACGAUUUAAUUUCCUUCUCUUUGUUUUUCCCCAUAACAUUCAUCACCACCUAACCUAUCAUAUAGCUUCUUCAUUUUCAAAUGAUCUGUUUUCUCUCCGGAGGAUGUAAAAUUCAUGACCGUUGGGAUGGAUAGUUUUGUUCACCGUCUGCUUUGUAUUGCACUGUCUUGAACACUGACAUCUAGUGACUGAUCAAUACUUAUUUGUGGAUGGCUGGCUGGAUGCAGGGAAGGGUAGGUAAAUGGAAAGGUGGGUGGAUGGGUGUGGAUUAUACACAGGGUAUUAUGGGGAUGCCAAGAAGAGAUUACUUAAUGUGGCCCAAGGUGAUGGGCUUUGGGAAUGCCAAACAGUCAGUUCACCUGGCCACACCUUUCAUGGGUCAGUUAAAUAAUGAAUUAUGCCUCCUUGCCACCUUCAUUCUUUGUGAUAGUUGCACAAUGUUGAUUUUAAUUUUUUCAAAAACUAUUAUCUAGAUAGCAUAAUAAUUGUCCUAAGUUCAGCCUCUUUGGGUCUCAUCUUCUUCUAAAAGAAAAAUGAACUCAUCUGAAGUUCAACAAUUCCUUUAGUAUUUUGACAGAAGACAACUUACAAGGCAUUUAUAAGGACACGCUCUACAUCUUACACAACAUUUUCACGGUUGCUAUCCAUCUCAUUAUGCGGUGUUAUAAAGACUCCACUGUAUUUUAAAGGUCUUGUUUUUAUAAAGUUAGCACAUAUGGAUGACAACCUGUAACGUUCUCUGCACUUCUGGCAUUAAUUGCUUUGUUAUAAAAGCUUUCCUGUGUAUUUUUCCUGUGAUUUGGGGAAUGACUUUCAUCCGGUCCUGUCUCUGUCUCAGCGGUCAAAUUUCCCUAGGUUUUCCAUGAAACAUUUUUUAACUAAAGAAAUAAGUGUUGAAGAUAUAUCAUUUCCAGUACAUCUUCUCAUAUGUGACACGCACACUGGCAAAACACACGCACACACAAAAUACACAAAUUUAAAGCAGUUCUUUAGGUUCUGAAUUAUGGAAACAGAAGUGAGCAAAUACUCUAAGCUGAAAGAUAUUGACAAAAUACAUGCUUUUAUACAACUACAUAGCAAACAUCCCACACUGCAACACCUGUUCUAAAGCUUGCUUCUUCAGGCAUUCAACAAUAUUUUCUAUUUCUAUUCCAACAGUAUUAGCUAACGAGAAAGGCAUUUUGCUUGUCCCUAUGUAUAUUUUAGGCAUUAUUUCAACCAUUUUCAAUGCCAUCAAGCAGAACAAAUAUUUACCCAGUCAUAUGGAGUUUUUUCAAUCAUAAGUAGGCAAUCUCAAAAUAAUAAGAAAUCUCAAAAGAAGAUUUUAAACGUUUAUCAGCAAAUGUGGCAAUUUUUUUUUCCAAGUACUGUUGAGAAUCCCAUGUGUUUAACCCUCUCUGUUGGGGGAAGGGAUUGUAGCAUUUUGUCCUCGUCCUGGAUGUAUAGCUUUUAAAUGAACUGCUAAUCGUCAUGACUUCCUGAUGUCCUUGAACUUACAUUAAGGUACAGUGGCUGUCUGGGGGACAUUCAUCAUCAAGGUUAGCGAAGGUUAACUCACAUUUCAAAUCAUCCUCGUGAAAAUAUUUUGGCAACUUGUUAGCUCGGAUGAGACCGAUGUUUUCAAUACUGUAUCAUGGCUGACAAGGAGCACAUAUCAGGGGAAACAGAAACGUUGGCUCUGCUGUUUGCUGGGCUGGGUCUGUGUUUACAUUAUUAGCAUGACCCAGUUCACUGUUUCUUUGCAAGAAUCACUUUAAGUUGCCUGUCCUCUCUGUGAUGCCAUGCACUCUAUGAAUUCACUCCACUAACAGGUGAAUAAGGAAUAACAGGAGGCAAUGUGCUAAAAGAGAACAAGCAAGCUGAGGCGGGGUCCCCCUGACUCAAGAUGUGUAGGGAAAGCCCUCAGUCCUCCGGGGUCCUCCCUUCACAUGGUAACUGGGGCUGCCUGACAUAAAAACUGACAAAAUGUUCCAAGCUUAAGCCAUAUUUUCAAUAUUGAUAAAGCUGAAUGUCUUUCUGAUUUUUAGGGGGAAAAACUCUAAACAGUUUCCUUUUGCAAGCAAUGGAUUAUCUUUCGCACCCUUCAGUGUGUCCAUUUUAUUAUUUGUUUGUUUGUUUAUUUACUUAUUUAUUUUUGCCCCCCUCCCCGCAGCAUAUGGAGCUCCCAACCCAGGGAUCAGACCUGAGCUGCAGUAGCGAUCUAUGCUGCAGCUGUGGCAAUGCCAGAUCCUCAAUCCACUGUGCCCAGGCUGGGGAUCCAACCUGUGCUCCAAAGACACCGCCGAUUCCUUUGUGCCACAGAGGGAACUCUGGGCUGUCCAUUUUAGAGGCUUACUGGUCCAGAGAAAAGCACUAUCCUUGGAGGGAAAUUCCUCACCAUGCUGCCAUGACAAUGGUCUACAGACUGAAAAGCCAUGCCAGUGUAGGAACUGAUUACUGCUGCCCAGCCAAGUCUGCCUGUGUCACUGGAUUACCCUCACCCAAGGCCAUGACCGCACAUGCACCCGCUCUCCAAUUCAUCUCCAAUUCCCUGGCAAAUCAGAAUAGUCAUAAUCUGAUAGAAGAAACUGAUCAAAGGGUAUUUGAACCUCUAAGAAGCUCCUUGGCCCUUUGGCCCUCCCCAAUUUUGUGUCUAUUUAUUUUCCUUGAGAGAAAAACUGGGAUGCAUUAACCAGACUUGUUUUCCCACAAGACGUAGUGGGCUCAUGGUCACCUUUCCUGUGAACCCGGGGAACCAGCUCUCGGGGGGUGCUCUGCCUGCACCCCCUCCUCCUCCCUUCCGCCCGGUGAGUCUCAGCAUAGCCGACUGGGUCAGAAUAGCCAUGGGCUCCCUCUGACUGCAUCUAGAAUAUUCUAGAUCUAGACUGGCACUCCCAUCAUGUCAAGCUAAAUCCACAGGAACCCCUGUCCUUGUCAGGAACUCCAGCUUCCUCCUGACCCUAGAUGCAUGGAGAUUCUGCAUCUGGGCCCGCUGUUCUUCCGGAGCAGCCGUGAUUCAUAAGCUGCUCUUUUAUUAGGAACAAGGGACACGCGCUCCUUUAUGUUUCUGCCGCCACA